Molecule: ribosomal RNA, 330 nt
Filed under: uncultured bacterium
Lineage: Bacteria
Description: bacterial SSU rRNA
Rfam family: Bacterial small subunit ribosomal RNA
Source: RNAcentral
UCCGUAGGCGGUGCGGAAAGUCGGAAGUGAAAUCUCUGGGCUUAACCCAGAGGCUGCUUCCGAAACUGCCGUGCUAGAGUGCGAGAGAGGCGAGUGGAAUUGCGGGUGUAGCGGUGAAAUGCGUAGAUAUCCGCAGGAACAUCCGAGGCGAAGGCGGCUCGCUGGAUCGCAACUGACGCUGAGGGACGAAAGCUAGGGGAGCAAACAGGAUUAGAUACCCUGGUAGUCCUAGCCCUAAACCAUCAGGACUUGGGGUUUGCCCUGUACGGGGCAAGUCCCGUAGCUAACGCGUUAAGUCCUGCGCCUGGGGAGUACGGUCGCAAGGCUGAA